RNAcentral lists this ribosomal RNA (253 nucleotides) under uncultured bacterium. RNAcentral describes it as "partial 16S ribosomal RNA". It matches the Rfam family "Bacterial small subunit ribosomal RNA", at positions 524 to 776 of the family's 1533-position model. The record is from RNAcentral.
UACGAGGGGGGCGAGCGUUUGUUCGGAAUUAUUGGGCGUAAAGGGUGCGUAGGCGGCCUGACAAGUCUGAUGUGAAAUCCCUGGGCUCAACCCAGGGCCUGCAUCGGAAACUGUCGGGCUUGAGUAUGGGAGAGGUGAGUGGAAUUUCCGGUGUAGCGGUGAAAUGCGUAGAUAUCGGAAGAACACCUGUGGCGAAAGCGGCUCACUGGACCAUUACUGACGCUGAGGCACGAAAGCUAGGGGAGCAAACAGG